GCGAGCUUAACUCAACUGGGAGAGUGCAUCCCUUACAAGGAUGAAGUUACAGGUUCGAGUCCCGUAGUUCGCA
Molecule: transfer RNA, 73 nt
Filed under: Bacteriophage sp.
Description: tRNA-Val
Rfam family: tRNA
About the family: Transfer RNA (tRNA) molecules are approximately 80 nucleotides in length. Their secondary structure includes four short double-helical elements and three loops (D, anti-codon, and T loops). Further hydrogen bonds mediate the characteristic L-shaped molecular structure. tRNAs have two regions of fundamental functional importance: the anti-codon, which is responsible for specific mRNA codon recognition, and the 3' end, to which the tRNAs corresponding amino acid is attached (by aminoacyl-tRNA synthetases). tRNAs cope with the degeneracy of the genetic code in two manners: having more than one tRNA (with a specific anti-codon) for a particular amino acid; and 'wobble' base-pairing, i.e. permitting non-standard base-pairing at the 3rd anti-codon position.
Source: RNAcentral